CCUACGGGUGGCAGCAGUGGGGAAUAUUGCACAAUGGGGGAAACCCUGAUGCAGCGACGCCGCGUGAGUGAAGAAGUAAUUCGUUACGUAAAGCUCUAUCAGCAGGGACGAAGCAAGUGACGGUACCUGAUGAAUAAGCCACGGCUAACUACGUGCCAGCAGCCGCGGUAAUACGUAGGUGGCAAGCGUUAUCCGGAUUUACUGGGUGUAAAGGGCGUGUAGGCGGGAAAGCAAGUCAGAUGUGAAAACCAUGGGCUCAACCUGUGGCCUGCAUUUGAAACUGUUUUUCUUGAGUACUGGAGAGGCAGACGGAAGUCCUAGUGUAGCGGUGAAAUGCGUAGAUAUUAGGAGGAACACCGGUGGCGAAGGCGGCUUACUGGACCGUAACUGACGUUGAGGCUCGAAAGCGUGGGGAGCAAACAGGAUUAGAUACCCGAGUAGUC
Molecule: ribosomal RNA, 443 nt
Filed under: uncultured bacterium
Lineage: Bacteria
Description: partial 16S ribosomal RNA
Rfam family: Bacterial small subunit ribosomal RNA
Source: RNAcentral